UACGGAGGGGGCUAGCGUUGUUCGGAAUCACUGGGCUUAAAGGGCGCGUAGGCGGGCCCGCCAGUCUGUGGUGAAAGCCCCCGGCUCAACCGGGGAAGUGCCGUGGAUACUGCGGGUCUCGAGGGAGGUAGGGGCGUGUGGAACUUCCGGUGGAGCGGUGAAAUGCGUAGAUAUCGGAAGGAACGCCGGUGGCGAAAGCGACGCGCUGGACCUCUGCUGACGCUGAGGCGCGAAAGCCAGGGGAGCAAACGGG
This 253-nucleotide ribosomal RNA is filed under the name uncultured bacterium. RNAcentral describes it as "partial 16S ribosomal RNA". It matches the Rfam family "Bacterial small subunit ribosomal RNA", at positions 524 to 776 of the family's 1533-position model. The record is from RNAcentral.